UAAAGAUUACGAAUAAUUAAAGCUGCUAACUUUGAUUAGGGGAUAUUGUUCUCCGUCUUUAAC
Molecule: transfer RNA, 63 nt
Filed under: Mexistrophia reticulata
Lineage: Eukaryota; Metazoa; Mollusca; Gastropoda; Stylommatophora; Cerionidae
Description: tRNA-Ser
Source: RNAcentral